AGUGAACGCUGGCGGUAGGCCUAACACAUGCAAGUCGAACGGCAGCACAGUAAGAGCUUGCUCUUACGGGUGGCGAGUGGCGGACGGGUGCGGAAUACAUCGGAAUCUACUUUUUCGUGGGGGAUAACGUAGGGAAACUUACGCUAAUACCGCAUACGACCUACGGGUGAAAGCAGGGGAUCUUCGGACCUUGCGCGAUUGAAUGAGCCGAUGUCGGAUUAGCGAGUUGGCGGGGUAAAGGCCCACCAAGGCGACGCUCCGUAGCUGGUCUGAGAGGAUGAUCAGCCACACUGGAACUGAGACACGGUCCAGACUCCUACGGGAGGCAGCAGUGGGGAAUAUUGGACAAUGGGCGCAAGCCUGAUCCAGCCAUACCGCGUGGGUGAAGAAGGCCUUCGGGUUGUAAAGCCCUUUUGUUUGGAAAGAAAAGCAGCAGGUUAAUACCCCGCUGUUCUGACGGUACCCAAAGAAUAAGCACCGGCUAACUUCGUG
RNAcentral lists this ribosomal RNA (492 nucleotides) under uncultured bacterium. RNAcentral's name for it is "partial 16S ribosomal RNA". It matches the Rfam family "Bacterial small subunit ribosomal RNA", at positions 29 to 507 of the family's 1533-position model. The record is from RNAcentral.